Saccostrea cuccullata (small rock oyster) is the source of this 450-nucleotide long non-coding RNA. RefSeq lists it as uncharacterized. The record is from RefSeq and is a predicted model, not a curated record. The transcript has 3 exons. Lineage: Eukaryota; Metazoa; Mollusca; Bivalvia; Ostreida; Ostreidae.
UGCUGAUCACAUCGAAAGAUUGUUGAAUAAAACAGGAUGUUGCAGUUCUUCACAGUUAAGGAUUUAUCAAGACAAAAUGAUAUGCCCUGGAUUUCAAUGUAAAAGAAAACGAAUACCCUCAUGACACCACUUGCAGCAACAUUUCAGAGAAAUGAUUAAAGUGUCCUAAACAAAUCAAAAGAUGACACCCAAGAAACUUGUUGAGGCUGUUUCACUGUGACUGAUGAAAGAAUGCUAUGAACCUUUGGAGACCAAGGAAUUGGGAUAGUCUCUAUUAUGAGGGAAAGAUGUAACCGAGAAAGAAAUAAGGUUGACCUUCAUCAACAAUUUUGGUUUAAUUUCAUGGUAGAAAGGAAAAAUACUGUGGGUAUUAACCUGUUAACCAAGACAUUGUAAUAUGUGAUCACACUGCCAUUCAGUGAAAAAGCCCUUUGUGUUGAUACAUGAACA